GUAGGUAUAGCCCAAUGGUAGAGCAAAUGUUUAGCAUGCAUGAGGUCUUGGAUUCAAUCUCCAAUACCUCCA
RNAcentral lists this transfer RNA (72 nucleotides) under Camelus bactrianus (Bactrian camel). It matches the Rfam family "tRNA". Rfam says of the family: Transfer RNA (tRNA) molecules are approximately 80 nucleotides in length. Their secondary structure includes four short double-helical elements and three loops (D, anti-codon, and T loops). Further hydrogen bonds mediate the characteristic L-shaped molecular structure. tRNAs have two regions of fundamental functional importance: the anti-codon, which is responsible for specific mRNA codon recognition, and the 3' end, to which the tRNAs corresponding amino acid is attached (by aminoacyl-tRNA synthetases). tRNAs cope with the degeneracy of the genetic code in two manners: having more than one tRNA (with a specific anti-codon) for a particular amino acid; and 'wobble' base-pairing, i.e. permitting non-standard base-pairing at the 3rd anti-codon position. RNAcentral also lists the same sequence under 2 other names. The record is from Rfam by way of RNAcentral. Lineage: Eukaryota; Metazoa; Chordata; Mammalia; Artiodactyla; Camelidae.